GAUGAAGAACGUAGUGAAAUGCGAUAAGUAGUGUGAAUUGCAGAAUACAGUGAAUCAUCGAAUCUUUGAACGCUCAUUGCGUCCCUUGGUAUUCCAUGGGGCAUGCCUGUUCGAGCGUCAUUUGUACCUUCAAGCUUUGCUUGGUGUUGGGUGUUUGUCUCGCCUUUGCGUGUAGACUCGCCUUAAAAUAAUUGGCAGCCGGCGUAUUGAUUUCGGAGCGCAGUACAUCUCGCGCUUUGCACUCAUAACGACAGCGUCCAAAAGUACAUUUUACACUCUUGACCUCGGAUCAGGUAGGGAUACCCGCUGAACUUAAGCAUAUCAAUAAGCGGAGGA
RNAcentral lists this unclassified non-coding RNA (336 nucleotides) under soil metagenome. RNAcentral describes it as "partial contains 5.8S ribosomal RNA, internal transcribed spacer 2, and large subunit ribosomal RNA". The stretch from base 1 to 120 matches the Rfam family "5.8S ribosomal RNA", at positions 35 to 154 of the family's 154-position model. The record is from RNAcentral.